Molecule: unclassified non-coding RNA, 16 nt
Filed under: synthetic construct
Source: RNAcentral
GCAGACUUAAAUCUGC